Aedes aegypti (yellow fever mosquito) is the source of this 675-nucleotide long non-coding RNA. RefSeq lists it as uncharacterized. The transcript is spliced from 2 exons. Lineage: Eukaryota; Metazoa; Arthropoda; Insecta; Diptera; Culicidae. The record is from RefSeq and is a predicted model, not a curated record.
CGCACCUCGGUAUAUAUUCUCAUUGGGUCCGCUGGGCACACUAAACAAAGGCUGCAAGUGCCCUACUCGACGGCAAAAUUGUAAAUAGUGAUUUUUUAGAGAUCAGAUCGCCAAUAGGGACGUCACUACAAAGUGACUGGCUACCAGCCCUUCAUGAUGUCAAUAACUCAAGUGUUACGCAUCCGUACGACACGAGCACUUCGCUUUCCUCCGCGUCCAAGUCCUUGUUGCUGUAGAUCACCAGGUCAGCCCGGGAACUCUCGCCAGUAGGUCUCGGGGAUUCCAGAUCUUCUCUUGGCCUGGCACGGCUCGAUGCGGUUGGAGUUGUUACCCCCGAGGGGACCGUUGUUUUGCGCGUCCUAUUGGCAAACUCGUGCGAUUCCAUGUCCCGAAGGUUCUCCACUGUGGGUGCUGCGCCACUCAACUUCGAAAUGCUGAAUGCCAUCCAUGAUUCUACGAAUUCCGUCGCGUCUUCGAUAUCGCAACGGGUACAGAUUUCAAUGCAUUUGUCGACGACCUCUGCCGAAGGAUCGAUCCCCAGCUCGCCGAACUGUUCGCGCAAAGUAUCAAUCGAAACCAUUUUUCACGAGAAUGUAAACUAGAAUCUACUUGUCCGUACCAGAAUACAUUGAUUUUACGGUUCCAACAAAAUAUACGAUUAACAUUAGCACAAAA